Molecule: ribosomal RNA, 591 nt
Filed under: uncultured bacterium
Lineage: Bacteria
Description: bacterial SSU rRNA
Rfam family: Bacterial small subunit ribosomal RNA
Source: RNAcentral
AACACGUGAGUUACAUGCCCUGCAGUGGGGAAUAGCCCGCCGAAAGGCGGAUUAAUACCCCGUGGUCCCGCAAGGGUAAAGGUGGCGCAAGCUGCCGCUGCAGGAUUGGCUCGCGGCCUAUCAGCUUGUUGGUGAGGUAACGGCUCACCAAGGCAACGACGGGUACCUGGUCUGAGAGGAUGAUCAGGCACACUGGAACUGAGACACGGUCCAGACACCUACGGGUGGCAGCAGUCGAGAAUAAUUCACAAUGGGGGAAACCCUGAUGGUGCAACGCCGCGUGGAGGAUGAAGGUCUUCGGAUUGUAAACUCCUGUCAUUGGGGAGUAAGACCUGGCGGUGAAUAGCCGACAGGGUUGAUAGUACCCAAAGAGGAAGGGACGGCUAACUUCGUGCCAGCAGCCGCGGUAAUACGAAGGUCCCAAGCGUUGUUCGGAAUCACUGGGCGUAAAGGGAGCGUAGGCGGCGUGGUAAGUCAGAUGUGAAAUCCCGGGGCUCAACCCCGGAACUGCAUCCGAUACUGCCAUGCUUGAGGGUUGGAGAGGUAGCUGGAAUUCUCGGUGUAGCAGUGAAAUGCGUGGAUAUCGAGAGG